UACGUAGGCAGCAAGCGUUGUUCGGAUUUACUGGGCGUAAAGGGUGUGUAGGCGGUUGGAUAAGUGUGGUGUGAAAUCUCCCGGCUUAACUGGGAGGGUGCGCUACAAACUGUCUGACUAGAGUGUGGGAUGGGAGAGUGGAAUUCCUGGUGUAGCGGUGAAAUGCGUAGAUAUCAGGAGGAACACCGGUGGUGUAGACGGCUCUCUGGACCAUAACUGACGCUGAGACACGAAAGCGUGGGUAGCAAACAGG
This 253-nucleotide ribosomal RNA is filed under the name uncultured bacterium. RNAcentral's name for it is "partial 16S ribosomal RNA". It matches the Rfam family "Bacterial small subunit ribosomal RNA", at positions 524 to 776 of the family's 1533-position model. The record is from RNAcentral.